Molecule: long non-coding RNA, 139 nt
Filed under: Callithrix jacchus (white-tufted-ear marmoset)
Lineage: Eukaryota; Metazoa; Chordata; Mammalia; Primates; Cebidae
Description: lncRNA (ENSCJAG00000084056.1)
Source: RNAcentral
AGCAGCCCCCGCCCACACGCUGGCUGAUGCACGUGUCCGGUGCCCGCACAAUGAUGGUUUUUUAGCCAACAAGGUGCUUCGCUGUUAAGUGGUGGAGGCUCAGGGAACAGGAGCUGCACGAACGCACAGGGCAAAAUCC